RNAcentral lists this ribosomal RNA (469 nucleotides) under uncultured bacterium. RNAcentral's name for it is "bacterial SSU rRNA". It matches the Rfam family "Bacterial small subunit ribosomal RNA", at positions 28 to 487 of the family's 1533-position model. The record is from RNAcentral.
GACGAACGCUGGCGGCGUGCCUAACACAUGCAAGUCGAACGGAGAUAUGAUUUCGGUUGUAUCUUAGUGGCGAACGGGUGAGUAACGCGUGAGCAACCUGACUCUUAGAGGGGGAUAACACCCGGAAACGAGUGCUAAUACCGCAUAAGACCACGACAUGGCAUCAUGACGAGGUCAAAGGAGCAAUCCGCUGAGAGAGGGGCUCGCGUCCCAUUAGAUAGAUGGCGGGGUAAUGGCCCACCAUGUCAGCGAUGGGUAGCCGAGCUGAGAGGCUGAUCGGCCACACUGGAACUGAGACACGGUCCAGACUCCUACGGGAGGCAGCAGUGGGGAAUAUUGGGCAAUGGGCGCAAGCCUGACCCAGCAACGCCGCGUGAGGGAAGAAGGCUUUCGGGUUGUAAAGUUCUUUUAUAUGUGAGCAGUGCUUCUUAUAUUAACAGUAUGGGGAGAGAGAUAUUAGCAUAUGAAU